CUUCUUCCUUUCCUCCUCUCGUCUGGCUUUUUUUUGGCCGCUGUUUUUUCCCCCCCUCGGCGGAGGGAGGGGACGGAGCUGCCGGCGGCCGGGCGGGGCGGGGGCAGGAGGCCGGGGGUCGCGGGGCCUCGCUCGCCACUUUGGCAGCGCGGCGGUCCCGACUGCCUGAUAGAUUACUUUCCCGUUAAAGAUAUACUCGGAGGCGGCUCCACGUGACCGCCUGACGUCAGGCGCCCCGCUGUGAAGUCAUGCAAAACUCGAGUUGUUUCAUGGACUGUCAACAAAGACCGGCGGCGGCUCCGCUCUGCCCGCCCCGACGGGGCCCGACGGCACCGGCACCGUCCGGCCCCCGCGGAAAUGCUGCCGCACCGGGGCUCGCCGCUGCCGCUCUCGGUGCGCCGGGCCCGAAGCCGCCGCUCUCGGGGCGCUCGGCAGCGCAGGCUCAGCGGAUGCGCCGCCUCAGGAGCGCUUAAAAGCACCAAGUUUGGGCUUUGAAACCACUUUCCGUGGGUUUCUAUUUUUUUUUUAAUUUUUUUUUUUUUCCAGGGGCAGCAGCACCAGCUGGGAACGGAAGACCAGAGAAUAGCUAUUGAUUAAUCUAUUAGAGGUGUUAACGACUUAAUCAUUGCGGGCUUUAGCAUAUGAAAAAGUAGGAAAUGAGGGAGUGUGUGUGAAUGUGAGGACCGUAUUGCCGCGGCCCCAGGAUCUCCGCGGCCCGUGACCUCCGCGCCCGCGCACCGCCCGCUGUCACACGCGGAGUCACAGAGCCACGUUCACUCACACGCACUCGCCUUGGGUGUCACCCGGCGAGCCGCAAAGGCUCUCCCUGGGAAAAAAAGGAGGAAAAACCCCAACUCCGCAGCCCCCCGCUCCAUUUGUUGCGCUUUUCUUCGGCACAAUAAAAGUCAAAUUAAUUGAUU
This is a long non-coding RNA of Pyrgilauda ruficollis (rufous-necked snowfinch), 920 nucleotides long. RefSeq lists it as uncharacterized. Lineage: Eukaryota; Metazoa; Chordata; Aves; Passeriformes; Passeridae. The transcript has 3 exons. The record is from RefSeq and is a predicted model, not a curated record.